This 806-nucleotide ribosomal RNA is filed under the name Pseudomonas fulva. RNAcentral's name for it is "bacterial SSU rRNA". It matches the Rfam family "Bacterial small subunit ribosomal RNA", at positions 75 to 877 of the family's 1533-position model. The record is from RNAcentral. Lineage: Bacteria; Pseudomonadati; Pseudomonadota; Gammaproteobacteria; Pseudomonadales; Pseudomonadaceae.
GGAGCUUGCUCCUUGAUUCAGCGGCGGACGGGUGAGUAAUGCCUAGGAAUCUGCCUGGUAGUGGGGGACAACGUUUCGAAAGGAACGCUAAUACCGCAUACGUCCUACGGGAGAAAGCAGGGGACCUUCGGGCCUUGCGCUAUCAGAUGAGCCUAGGUCGGAUUAGCUUGUUGGUGAGGUAAUGGCUCACCAAGGCGACGAUCCGUAACUGGUCUGAGAGGAUGAUCAGUCACACUGGAACUGAGACACGGUCCAGACUCCUACGGGAGGCAGCAGUGGGGAAUAUUGGACAAUGGGCGAAAGCCUGAUCCAGCCAUGCCGCGUGUGUGAAGAAGGUCUUCGGAUUGUAAAGCACUUUAAGUUGGGAGGAAGGGUUGUAGAUUAAUACUCUGCAAUUUUGACGUUACCGACAGAAUAAGCACCGGCUAACUCUGUGCCAGCAGCCGCGGUAAUACAGAGGGUGCAAGCGUUAAUCGGAAUUACUGGGCGUAAAGCGCGCGUAGGUGGUUUGUUAAGUUGGAUGUGAAAGCCCCGGGCUCAACCUGGGAACUGCAUCCAAAACUGGCAAGCUAGAGUACGGUAGAGGGUGGUGGAAUUUCCUGUGUAGCGGUGAAAUGCGUAGAUAUAGGAAGGAACACCAGUGGCGAAGGCGACCACCUGGACUGAUACUGACACUGAGGUGCGAAAGCGUGGGGAGCAAACAGGAUUAGAUACCCUGGUAGUCCACGCCGUAUACGAUGUCAACUAGCCGUUGGAAUCCUUGAGAUUUUAGUGGCGCAGCUAACGCAUUAAGUUGACCGCCUGGG